RNAcentral lists this ribosomal RNA (175 nucleotides) under uncultured soil bacterium. RNAcentral's name for it is "partial 16S ribosomal RNA". It matches the Rfam family "Bacterial small subunit ribosomal RNA", at positions 26 to 213 of the family's 1533-position model. The record is from RNAcentral.
AGAUUGAACGCUAGCGGGAUGCUUUACACAUGCAAGUCGAACGGCAGCGCGGACUUCGGUCUGGCGGCGAGUGGCGAACGGGUGAGUAAUAUAUCGGGAACGUGCCCAGUAGCGGGGGAUAACUACGCGAAAGCGUGGCUAAUACCGCAUACGCCCUACAGGGGAAAGGGGGGAU